This 26-nucleotide non-coding RNA is filed under the name Mus musculus (house mouse). The record is from RNAcentral. Lineage: Eukaryota; Metazoa; Chordata; Mammalia; Rodentia; Muridae.
UUGUGGCUUAUAUUCAGGUGAGGAAC